Molecule: unclassified non-coding RNA, 347 nt
Filed under: soil metagenome
Description: partial contains 5.8S ribosomal RNA, internal transcribed spacer 2, and large subunit ribosomal RNA
Rfam family: 5.8S ribosomal RNA (bases 1-120)
Source: RNAcentral
GAUGAAGAACGCAGUGAAAUGCGAUAAUUAAUGUGAAUUGCAGAAUUCAGUGAAUCAUCGAGUCUUUGAACGCACAUUGCGCCCCCUGGUAUUCCGGGGGGCAUGCCUGUCCGAGCGUCAUUGCUGCCCUCAAGCACGGCUUGUGUGUUGGGCUUCCGUCCCUGGCAACGGGGACGGGCCCAAAAGGCAGUGGCGGCACCAUGUCUGGUCCUCGAGCGUAUGGGGCUUUGUCACCCGCUCCCGUAGGUCCAGCUGGCAGCUAGCCUCGCAACCAAUCUUUUUAACCAGGUUGACCUCGUAUCAGGUAGGGAUACCCGCUGAACUUAAGCAUAUCAAUAAGCGGAGGA